CCUACGGGAGGCAGCAGUGGGGAAUAUUGCACAAUGGGCGCAAGCCUGAUGCAGCAACGCCGCGUGAGGGACGACGGCCUUCGGGUUGUAAACCUCUUUUAGUAGGGAAGAAGCGAAAGUGACGGUACCUGCAGAAAAAGCACCGGCUAACUACGUGCCAGCAGCCGCGGUAAUACGUAGGGUGCAAGCGUUAUCCGGAAUUAUUGGGCGUAAAGAGCUCGUAGGCGGUUUGUCGCGUCUGCUGUGAAAACUGGAGGCUCAACCUCCAGCCUGCAGUGGGUACGGGCAGACUAGAGUGCGGUAGGGGAGAUUGGAAUUCCUGGUGUAGCGGUGGAAUGCGCAGAUAUCAGGAGGAACACCGAUGGCGAAGGCAGAUCUCUGGGCCGUAACUGACGCUGAGGAGCGAAAGCAUGGGGAGCGAACAGGAUUAGAUACCCUGGUAGUCCAUGCCGUAAACGUUGGGAACUAGAUGUAGGGACCAUUCCACGGUUUCUGUGUCGCNGCUACGCAUAACGUUACCCGUCCGUCGGGAGGUACGGCCGCGACGGACGUAAACUACAAACUAGAAGUUAGUACGGCGUGAGACGUGCCGACGGACGACGACGAGGGAGGAGG
This 615-nucleotide ribosomal RNA is filed under the name uncultured bacterium. Its description in RNAcentral is "bacterial SSU rRNA". The stretch from base 1 to 524 matches the Rfam family "Bacterial small subunit ribosomal RNA", at positions 338 to 873 of the family's 1533-position model. The record is from RNAcentral.